UGGGGAAUAUUGGACAAUGGGCGAAAGCCUGAUCCAGCCAUGCCGCGUGUGUGAAGAAGGCCUUUUGGUUGUAAAGCACUUUAAGUGGGGAGGAAAAGCUUAUGGUUAAUACCCAUAAGCCCUGACGUUACCCACAGAAUAAGCACCGGCUAACUCUGUGCCAGCAGCCGCGGUAAUACAGAGGGUGCAAGCGUUAAUCGGAAUUACUGGGCGUAAAGCGCGCGUAGGUGGUUAUUUAAGUCAGAUGUGAAAGCCCCGGGCUUAACCUGGGAACUGCAUCUGGUACUGGAUAACUAGAGUAGGUGAGAGGGGAGUAGAAUUCCAGGUGUAGCGGUGAAAUGCGUAGAGAUCUGGAGGAAUACCGAUGGCGAAGGCAGCUCCCUGGCAUCAUACUGACACUGAGGUGCGAAAGCGUGGGUAGCAAACAGGAUUAGAUACCCUGGUAGUCCACGCCGUAAACGAUGUCUACCAGUCGUUGGGUCUUUUAAAGACUUAGUGACGCAGUUAACGCAAUAAGUAGACCGCCUGGGGAGUACGGCCGCAAGGUU
RNAcentral lists this ribosomal RNA (548 nucleotides) under uncultured bacterium. RNAcentral describes it as "bacterial SSU rRNA". It matches the Rfam family "Bacterial small subunit ribosomal RNA", at positions 355 to 895 of the family's 1533-position model. The record is from RNAcentral.